GACGAACGCUGGCGGCGUGCUUAACACAUGCAAGUCGAACGGAAAGGUCCUGCUUUUGUGGGGUGCUCGAGUGGCGAACGGGUGAGUAACACGUGAGUAACCUGCCCUUGACUUUGGGAUAACUUCAGGAAACUGGGGCUAAUACCGGAUAGGAGCUCCUGCUGCAUGGUGGGGGUUGGAAAGUUUCGGCGGUUGGGGAUGGACUCGCGGCUUAUCAGCUUGUUGGUGGGGUAGUGGCUUACCAAGGCUUUGAAGGGUAGCCGGCCUGAGAGGGUGACCGGCCACAUUAGGACGGAGAUACGGCCCAGACUCCUACGGGAGGCAGCGGUGGGGAAUAUUGUCCAAUGGGCGGAAGCCUGAUGCAGCAACGCCGCGUGGGGGAUGACGGCCUUCGGGUAGUAAACCGCUUUCGCCUGUGACGAAGCGUGAGUGACGGUAAUGGGUAAAGAAGCACCGGCUAACUACGUG
RNAcentral lists this ribosomal RNA (468 nucleotides) under uncultured bacterium. RNAcentral describes it as "partial 16S ribosomal RNA". It matches the Rfam family "Bacterial small subunit ribosomal RNA", at positions 28 to 507 of the family's 1533-position model. The record is from RNAcentral.